Molecule: ribosomal RNA, 500 nt
Filed under: uncultured bacterium
Lineage: Bacteria
Description: partial 16S ribosomal RNA
Rfam family: Bacterial small subunit ribosomal RNA
Source: RNAcentral
AUUGAACGCUGGCGGCAGGCCUAACACAUGCAAGUCGAGCGGAUGAUGGUAGCUUGCUACCUGAUUCAGCGGCGGACGGGUGAGUAAUGCCUAGGAAUCUGCCCGGUAGUGGGGGACAACGUUUCGAAAGGAACGCUAAUACCGCAUACGUCCUACGGGAGAAAGUGGGGGAUCUUCGGACCUCACGCUAUCAGAUGAGCCUAGGUACGAUUAGCUAGUUGGUGAGGUAAAGGCUCACCAAGGCGACGAUCGUUAACUGGUCUGAGAGGAUGAUCAGUCACACUGGAACUGAGACACGGUCCAGACUCCUACGGGAGGCAGCAGUGGGGAAUAUUGGACAAUGGGCGAAAGCCUGAUCCAGCCAUGCCGCGUGUGUGAAGAAGGUCUUCGGAUUGUAAAGCACUUUAAGUUGGGAGGAAGGGCAGUAAGUUAAUACCUUGCUGUUUUGACGUUACCGACAGAAUAAGCACCGGCUAACUUCGUGCCAGCCGCCGCCGUAA